GCACAAGCGGUGGAGCAUGUGGUUUAAUUCGACGCAACGCGAAGAACCUUACCUGGGCUUGACAUCCCGAUCGUACGAUAUGGAAACAUAUUGGUCAGUUCGGCUGGAUCGGUGACAGGUGCUGCAUGGCUGUCGUCAGCUCGUGUCGUGAGAUGUUGGGUUAAGUCCCGCAACGAGCGCAACCCUUGUCCUUAGUUGCCAUCAGUUCGGCUGGGCACUCUAUGGAGACUGCCACCUAAAGUGGAGGAAGGUGGGGAUGACGUCAAGUCAGCAUGGCCCUUACGUCCGGGGCUACACACGUGCUACAAUGGCCGGUACAAAGGGUUGCGAAGCCGUGAGGUGGAGCGAAUCUCAAAAAGCCGGCCUCAGUUCGGAUUGGAGGCUGCAACUCGCCUCCAUGAAGUCGGAAUCGCUAGUAACCGCAGAUCAGCUACGUUGCGGUGAAUACGUUCCCGGGCCUU
Molecule: ribosomal RNA, 461 nt
Filed under: uncultured Desulfuromonas sp.
Lineage: Bacteria; Pseudomonadati; Thermodesulfobacteriota; Desulfuromonadia; Desulfuromonadales; Desulfuromonadaceae
Description: bacterial SSU rRNA
Rfam family: Bacterial small subunit ribosomal RNA
Source: RNAcentral